Molecule: non-coding RNA, 804 nt
Filed under: Parnassius ariadne
Lineage: Eukaryota; Metazoa; Arthropoda; Insecta; Lepidoptera; Papilionidae
Source: RNAcentral
AAAAAUCUAUAUGAAAAAAUUGUAUAUAUAAAUAAAAUUUUAUAAUUUAUUGAAUUUAAUUUAAAUUUAUUUUACAUGUAAAUUUUAGUGUUAAUUUUUAAUUAUUUUGAUAAUAAUUAUUAUAUUUGCAGUAAUUAAAAUUAAAAAUUUAAGAAAUUAAGAUUUAGUAAUAUUUAAAUUUAUUAACAAAUUUUGUGCCAGCAGUUGCGGUUAUACAAAAAAUGAUUUAAAUUUUAUCAGUAUAUAAUAAAUAAAAUUAUUAUUUAAAUUAAAUAUUAAGUUAUUAGGUGAAAUUUUAAUUUAAUUAAAAUUUAUAUAAAUUUUAUGAUUUAUUAAAUUUUAUAAAAAACUAGGAUUAGAUACCCUAUUAUUAAAAAUUAAAUUUAUAAUACUAAAAUAGUAGGUAAUUAUUUAUUGAAACUUAAAUAAUUUGGCGGUAUUUUAGUUCAUUUAGAGGAAUCUGUUUAAUAAUUGAUAAUCCACGAAUAAAUUUACUUAAUUUAUUAUUUUGUAUAUCGUUGUUAGAAAAAUAUUUUUUAAUAAAAAUAAUAUUUUAAAAUUUUUAUUUAAAAUUAAUUCAGAUCAAGAUGCAGAUUAUAAUUAAGAAUAUAAUGGAUUACAAUAAAUAAAUUUAAAUGAAUAAUAUUUUUUAAUAAAUAUUUGAAGGUGGAUUUAAAUGUAAUUUUAAUUAAUUUAUUUAAAUGAUUUUAUAUUAAAAUAUGUACAUAUUGCCCGUCGCUUUCAUUAAUAAAUUGGAAUAAGUCGUAACAAAGUAGAGGUACUGGAAAGUGUUUCUAGAAAGAA